CGAAAUUAUGUGCCAAUACGUUAACUACGGAUCCGUCGGAGCCCGCGUUUCAGUCAAUUUUGAUGCAAAAAUAUUACGACGUACACAAAGGGUUAUGCGAAACUCCGACGGUAAUGGUUAUUCUAAAAUAAUUUUUUAAAAUCCACAACAAAUGAGAAUACUUUGGGUUUAUUUAUGUCGAUUUCCAAGAAAAAAAAGAAAAAACGAUAUUUUUACAUCUCAUCAAUUUACCGAGCUUUGCUCGUAGUUAUUGGUUAUCGAAUGCGAAGAUCUAUUAUUGAUUUCGUGCAUAACCUAAAUUACGGUUUAUACCUCCUAAAAUGCUGGCUUAUAAUUGUAUAUAGCCAACCAACGGUGCGAAGUAUACGGCUGGCUUAUUUAAUUCGGGUUUUCACCGGCAAGAAAGUACACCCUUUUUAAAAGAGAUUGACGAAUUUAUAUUUUCUAGGCGAGAGACUGCACGCCGCCUUUGAACCAUCAUAUAUUAAGCCAAUAAUUUCGUGAACAAUUACGAAUACGAAUAUAAAAAAUAAAUUGCUAAUGUUUUUUAUUUUAUUUGAUAUUAUUUACGUGUUUUGUCGUUUUAAAGGUUCGUCGGUGAAUUAUACAAUCUGGGUGCGUAACCUGAGGCGAUUAUAUGGUCGUUUGUUAAUGAACUUACGAGAGGAUAUGACGGCAAUUUACAAAUCGAAUAUCUAUGCACCCUUUUAAAGUCGGUUGCACCGAAAUUAUCCCAAGUAAAUUACUCUACACAAACAUUAUGAUGAUUAUAAAUACUGCGGAUACGAAAUAAUUAUAUAUAAUGUCUAUAGACGUACAAAAUGAUACGAGUAGUUGGUCAUUAUUGCUGUUACUGAAAAACAAUACUUCCAGAGCGGAUACGAUGCCGUCAAAAUUUAAAAAAUUAAUACACGAAACAAAG
Molecule: non-coding RNA, 922 nt
Organism: Cinara cedri
Lineage: Eukaryota; Metazoa; Arthropoda; Insecta; Hemiptera; Aphididae
Source: the annotation of a GenBank genome assembly